Molecule: ribosomal RNA, 492 nt
Filed under: uncultured bacterium
Lineage: Bacteria
Description: partial 16S ribosomal RNA
Rfam family: Bacterial small subunit ribosomal RNA
Source: RNAcentral
AGUGAACGCUGGCGGUAGGCCUAACACAUGCAAGUCGAACGGCAGCACAGUAAGAGCUUGCUCUUACGGGUGGCGAGUGGCGGACGGGUGAGGAAUACAUCGGAAUCUACUUUUUCGUGGGGGAUAACGUAGGGAAACUUACGCUAAUACCGCAUACGACCUACGGGUGAAAGCAGGGGAUCUUCGGACCUUGCGCGAUUGAAUGAGCCGAUGUCGGAUUAGCUAGUUGGCGGGGUAAAGGCCCACCAAGGCGACGAUCCGUAGCUGGUCUGAGAGGAUGAUCAGCUACACUGGAACUGAGACACGGUCCAGACUCCUACGGGAGGCAGCAGUGGGGAAUAUUGGACAAUGGGCGCAAGCCUGAUCCAGCCAUACCGCGUGGGUGAAGAAGGCCUCCGGGUUGUAAAGCCCUUUUGUUGGGAAAGAAAAGCAGCAGGUUAAUACCCCGCUGUUCUGACGGUACCCAAAGAAUAAGCACCGGCUAACUUCGUG